This 346-nucleotide unclassified non-coding RNA is filed under the name soil metagenome. RNAcentral describes it as "partial contains 5.8S ribosomal RNA, internal transcribed spacer 2, and large subunit ribosomal RNA". The stretch from base 1 to 120 matches the Rfam family "5.8S ribosomal RNA", at positions 35 to 154 of the family's 154-position model. The record is from RNAcentral.
GAUGAAGAACGCAGCGAAAUGCGAUAAGUAAUGUGAAUUGCAGAAUUCAGUGAAUCAUCGAAUCUUUGAACGCACAUUGCGCCCCCUGGCAUUCCGGGGGGCACACCUGUCCGAGCGCCGUCGCAGCACUGAGGCCCAGCCUUGCGUUGGCGGUGCGGCCCGAGCCCCCUGAAAAGGUGGGGAGGCCGCCCGCCCAAACACCGACGGCGCCGCAUCGCGGCCGGCAUUGCGCAAACAGCAAAGAGCCGGUGAGACGAGACGGCCGCCAGUGAUUUUAAAACACCAGCUUGGCCUCGGAUCAGGUGGGGAUACCCGCUGAACUUAAGCAUAUCCAAUAAGCGGAGGA